RNAcentral lists this long non-coding RNA (1728 nucleotides) under Mytilus galloprovincialis (Mediterranean mussel). Lineage: Eukaryota; Metazoa; Mollusca; Bivalvia; Mytilida; Mytilidae. The record is from RNAcentral.
GGGUGUCUGAAAGCAUCAUUCUUUGUUUAUUUGAUGGUCUUAUAAAAUAUUUUGGAAAGUUAAGGUUACAUAGUUACCAAAGCAGGUAACCAGUAAAUAAUAGUGUAAAAAUUGGGUUGUUUACUUCCGGUGCUGGUUACUUUCUUAUAUGCAAUGAAAUGUAGUGUGAAAUUUUCACUGUAGCACUGGACAGGAUUAAACUUUAUUCAUGCAAAGUAUUUCUUUGGUUGAAAUAAAGGUAAAUACUGUACAUUUUUUUUAAAAGUGCCAAUUUAACAAAGACUAAUAGGGGAAAAUCAAUGGUGGUAUUACACCUAUUUAGGGAAACUACACGUGCACUGGUGACCUUAUUGUACUUUCAUUUUUAAAAAUUAUUACUAAACUAGUUCAUACGUUGUAAAAAUGGACUAUUCGGAAUGGAUUGAGACACAGAAAGCACGUUUGAGGGAAAAUUGCCUUGAAAUGGGGGUUUACGGGUGUUUGCUAAGUCAAAUGGGUGGACAGACAAGGCUGUAUUCAGUGUAUAGUGUUAGGUUUCCUUGGGACAGAAAAAAAAGAACCUUGUAUGGUCACAGAUUUGCAUACAUGUUGCACACUGAGAAAUUUGACCUAUCAGAGGAAUUUGAUGUGUCUCAUCUGUGUCAUCAGAAGAGAUGCAUUAACCCUGAGCACUUGUCUUUCGAGCCGCCUCAUAUUAACCAAGACCGCCAAGUUUGUCGUGGUACACACCCAACAAGGUGUCGAAAACACAAACCCUACCAAGACUGUUUGAUUUAAAAUGGUAAAACAAUAAUGGUUUUAAAGAGAAGUCUUAUUUUUCUUCAUAUGAUAUAAUUUAAUUUAUGAAAUACACUUUUGAAUCAACAUACAUAUAUUACAUUGCGACCUUUCUUAUAGCUUGCCAUGCUAAUCCCCAUUUUACGUGAGCCUCUGUGUCAAAUUUUAAAUCACCUUUACAGUUUUGUUUAUACAACAUGUGAUUUUUCAUUUCAGUGUUAACCAUGAAUCUGACAAGCAUUCUGUUGAAAAAUCUUAUAUGUGAAUUGGUCUGCAGAUGACACUUUAGCAUUGAGGUAUGUAUCAACUAAUGUCAUGUUUUAUUUUUGUUUUGGCCGCAAAAGUUUACAAUUUGCCAUUGUGCCAUCUGUAUUUUGCACCGACAAAACAUCAUCUAAACACUUGCCUUGGAUUUAUACACAUCAGAAUCCAGUCUCACAUACUUAAAUUUUAUAAUUCGUACCAAUUUUUUUUUUUACCAGCAUUCAAAGGGACAUAACCCUUUUUAAAACCAUUUUGAUGUAUUUUUUAUUACUCUUUCUCCUCAUUUUUUAAUGUAAAAUACAAGAAAGUGGACUUUUCAGGUGUAAAUCUAUUAGAAAUAUACUGCAAUAAAUAAAUGAAAUGAUUUUGAUAUCAGUAACAAUUAUGAUUGACUGAAAGGGAACCGUUAUUUGUCAUACUCGGGGAACAGACCAAAAACUCAAGUUACACAUAAGGGCUUAUAGAAACUUCGGUGGAGACUGUUAACAUUUAUAGAAACAGUUCUUUCAGCUAAAACACUUUAAUUGUUGAUUUGACAUUACAUUUCUUUCAUUUUUUCUGGGAAAAUAAUUACAUUUGCUUUAUUUUUUAGGCAAAAGAUAUCAAUUUUUGAUGAAAAAAGAAGGAAGAAGGAAAAUGGACCAAAACAGACCAAAACAGACCUUCAAAUGAACUCUAAAAGGUGCA